CCUACGGGCGGCAGCAGUGAGGAAGAUUGGUCAAUGGACGAGAGUCUGAACCAGCCAAGUAGCGUGAAGGAUGACUGCCCUAUGGGUUGUAAACUUCUUUUAUAUGGGAAUAAAAUGUGCCACGUGUGGGAUUUUGUAUGUACCAUAUGAAUAAGGAUCGGCUAACUCCGUGCCAGCAGCCGCGGUAAUACGGAGGAUCCGAGCGUUAUCCGGAUUUAUUGGGUUGAACGGGAGCGUAGGUGGAUUGGUAAGUCAGUUGUGAAAGUUUGCGGCUCAACCGUCAAAUUGCAGUUGAAACUGGCAGUCUUUAGUACAGUAGAGGUGGGCGGAAUUCGUUGUGUAGCGGUGACCUGCUUCGCUUUCAC
This 365-nucleotide ribosomal RNA is filed under the name uncultured bacterium. Its description in RNAcentral is "partial 16S ribosomal RNA". It matches the Rfam family "Bacterial small subunit ribosomal RNA", at positions 338 to 700 of the family's 1533-position model. The record is from RNAcentral.